GGGGAAUUUUGGACAAUGGGCGAAAGCCUGAUCCAGCCAUGCCGCGUGCGGGAAGAAGGCCUUCGGGUUGUAAACCGCUUUUGGCAGGAACGAAACGGCGCGGGCGAAUACCUCGUGCUAAUGACGGUACCUGCAGAAUAAGCACCGGCUAACUACGUGCCAGCAGCCGCGGUAAUACGUAGGGUGCAAGCGUUAAUCGGAAUUACUGGGCGUAAAGCGUACGCAGGCGGCUGUGCAAGACAGGUGUGAAAUCCCCGGGCCCAACCUGGGAACUGCAUUUGUGACUGCACGGCUAGAGUCCGUAAGAGGGGGGUGGAAUUCCACGUGUAGCAGUGAAAUGCGUAGAGAUGUGGAGGAACACCGAUGGCGAAGGCAGCCCCCUGGGAUGAGACUGACGCUCAUGUACGAAAGCGUGGGGAGCAAAC
RNAcentral lists this ribosomal RNA (425 nucleotides) under uncultured bacterium. Its description in RNAcentral is "bacterial SSU rRNA". It matches the Rfam family "Bacterial small subunit ribosomal RNA", at positions 356 to 773 of the family's 1533-position model. The record is from RNAcentral.